RNAcentral lists this ribosomal RNA (1057 nucleotides) under Staphylococcus sp. Its description in RNAcentral is "bacterial SSU rRNA". It matches the Rfam family "Bacterial small subunit ribosomal RNA", at positions 62 to 1097 of the family's 1533-position model. Lineage: Bacteria; Bacillati; Bacillota; Bacilli; Caryophanales; Staphylococcaceae. The record is from RNAcentral.
UCGAGCGAACAGACGAGGAGCUUGCUCCUCUGACGUUAGCGGCGGACGGGUGAGUAACACGUGGAUAACCUACCUAUAAGACUGGGAUAACUUCGGGAAACCGGAGCUAAUACCGGAUAAUAUAUUGAACCGCAUGGUUCAAUAGUGAAAGACGGUUUUGCUGUCACUUAUAGAUGGAUCCGCGCCGCAUUAGCUAGUUGGUAAGGUAACGGCUUACCAAGGCAACGAUGCGUAGCCGACCUGAGAGGGUGAUCGGCCACACUGGAACUGAGACACGGUCCAGACUCCUACGGGAGGCAGCAGUAGGGAAUCUUCCGCAAUGGGCGAAAGCCUGACGGAGCAACGCCGCGUGAGUGAUGAAGGUCUUCGGAUCGUAAAACUCUGUUAUUAGGGAAGAACAAAUGUGUAAGUAACUAUGCACGUCUUGACGGUACCUAAUCAGAAAGCCACGGCUAACUACGUGCCAGCAGCCGCGGUAAUACGUAGGUGGCAAGCGUUAUCCGGAAUUAUUGGGCGUAAAGCGCGCGUAGGCGGUUUUUUAAGUCUGAUGUGAAAGCCCACGGCUCAACCGUGGAGGGUCAUUGGAAACUGGAAAACUUGAGUGCAGAAGAGGAAAGUGGAAUUCCAUGUGUAGCGGUGAAAUGCGCAGAGAUAUGGAGGAACACCAGUGGCGAAGGCGACUUUCUGGUCUGUAACUGACGCUGAUGUGCGAAAGCGUGGGGAUCAAACAGGAUUAGAUACCCUGGUAGUCCACGCCGUAAACGAUGAGUGCUAAGUGUUAGGGGGUUUCCGCCCCUUAGUGCUGCAGCUAACGCAUUAAGCACUCCGCCUGGGGAGUACGACCGCAAGGUUGAAACUCAAAGGAAUUGACGGGGACCCGCACAAGCGGUGGAGCAUGUGGUUUAAUUCGAAGCAACGCGAAGAACCCUUACCAAUCUUGACAUCCUCUGACCCCUCUAGAGAUAGAGUUUUCCCCUUUCGGGGGACAGAGUGACACGUGCUGCAUGGUUGUCGUCAGCUCGUGUCGUGAGAUGUUUGGGGUUAAGUCCGCACGAGC